This 892-nucleotide ribosomal RNA is filed under the name Flavobacterium johnsoniae. RNAcentral describes it as "bacterial SSU rRNA". It matches the Rfam family "Bacterial small subunit ribosomal RNA", at positions 88 to 983 of the family's 1533-position model. The record is from RNAcentral. Lineage: Bacteria; Pseudomonadati; Bacteroidota; Flavobacteriia; Flavobacteriales; Flavobacteriaceae.
CUUGAGACCGGCGCACGGGUGCGUAACGCGUAUGCAAUCUGCCUUCCACAGAGGGAUAGCCCAGAGAAAUUUGGAUUAAUACCUCAUAGCAUCAUGACCCGGCAUCGGGAUAUGAUUAAAGUCACAACGGUGGAAGAUGAGCAUGCGUCCCAUUAGCUAGUUGGUAAGGUAACGGCUUACCAAGGCUACGAUGGGUAGGGGUCCUGAGAGGGAGAUCCCCCACACUGGUACUGAGACACGGACCAGACUCCUACGGGAGGCAGCAGUGAGGAAUAUUGGUCAAUGGGCGCAAGCCUGAACCAGCCAUGCCGCGUGCAGGAUGACGGUCCUAUGGAUUGUAAACUGCUUUUGUACGGGAAGAAACCCUCCUACGUGUAGGAGCUUGACGGUACCGUAAGAAUAAGGAUCGGCUAACUCCGUGCCAGCAGCCGCGGUAAUACGGAGGAUCCAAGCGUUAUCCGGAAUCAUUGGGUUUAAAGGGUCUGUAGGCGGUCUUGUAAGUCAGUGGUGAAAGCCCAUCGCUCAACGGUGGAACGGCCAUUGAUACUGCUGGACUUGAAUUAUUGGGAAGCAACUAGAAUAUGUAGUGUAGCGGUGAAAUGCUUAGAGAUUACAUGGAAUACCAAUUGCGAAGGCAGGUUGCUACCAAUGGAUUGACGCUGAUGGACGAAAGCGUGGGUAGCGAACAGGAUUAGAUACCCUGGUAGUCCACGCCGUAAACGAUGGAUACUAGCUGUUGGGCGCAAGUUCAGUGGCUAAGCGAAAGUGAUAAGUAUCCCACCUGGGGAGUACGAACGCAAGUUUGAAACUCAAAGGAAUUGACGGGGGCCCGCACAAGCGGUGGAGCAUGUGGUUUAAUUCGAUGAUACGCGAGGAACCUUACCAAGGCUUA